RNAcentral lists this ribosomal RNA (253 nucleotides) under uncultured bacterium. RNAcentral's name for it is "partial 16S ribosomal RNA". It matches the Rfam family "Bacterial small subunit ribosomal RNA", at positions 524 to 776 of the family's 1533-position model. The record is from RNAcentral.
UACAGGGGGGGCAAGCGUUGUUCGGAAUUACUGGGCGUAAAGGGCCAGUAGGCGGCCAACUAAGUCACACGUGAAAUCCCCAGGCUUAACCUGGGAACUGCGUGUGAUACUGGAUGGCUUGAAUUCGGGAGAGGGAUGCAGAAUUCCAGGUGUAGCGGUGAAAUGCGUAGAUAUCUGGAGGAAUACCGGUGGCGAAGGCGGCAUCCUGGACCGACACUGACGCUGAGGCGCGAAAGCGUGGGGAGCAAACAGG